CCUACGUGGAGCUGCAGUGGGGAAUAUUGCACAAUGGGGGAAACCCUGAUGCAGCAACGCCGCGUGAGUGAUGACGGCCUUCGGGUUGUAAAGCUCUGUCUUCAGGGACGAGAAUGACGGUACCGGUGGAGGAAGCCACGGCUAACUACGUGCCAGCAGCCGCGGUAAUACGUAGGUCGCGAUCGUUGUCCGGAUUUAAUGGCCGUAAAGGGAGCGUAGGCGGACGGUUAAUGGAGCUGUGAAAGACUCGGGCUAAACUUGAGUGCUGCAUUUCAAACUGGAAGUCUAGAGUGCAGGAGAGGAAACUGGAAUUCCUGGUGUAGCGGUGAAAUGCGUAGAGAUUGGGAAGAACACUAGUGGCGAAGGCGAUUCUCUGGACUGUAACUGACGCUGAGGCUCGAAAGCGUGGGGAGCAAACAGGAUUAGAUACCCGGGUAGUC
RNAcentral lists this ribosomal RNA (440 nucleotides) under uncultured bacterium. RNAcentral's name for it is "partial 16S ribosomal RNA". It matches the Rfam family "Bacterial small subunit ribosomal RNA", at positions 338 to 795 of the family's 1533-position model. The record is from RNAcentral.